Molecule: transfer-messenger RNA, 398 nt
Filed under: uncultured Prevotella sp.
Lineage: Bacteria; Pseudomonadati; Bacteroidota; Bacteroidia; Bacteroidales; Prevotellaceae
Rfam family: transfer-messenger RNA
About the family: Bacterial tmRNA, also known as 10Sa RNA or SsrA, is named for its dual tRNA and mRNA-like properties. Its role is to liberate the mRNA from a stalled ribosome.
Source: RNAcentral
GGGGUUGACUGGAUUUGACAGCAAGCUGAGAUGGUAUGUAAGCACGCGGAGUGACGGCUGUAUACUCCAUAAUACAUUCGGUCGAAAAAUUAAUUGGCAACAACGAGUAUGCUCUCGCUGCCUAAUCGAAGCAUAGUAGAUUGAGGCUCAAUCCCGUCACCAGGUGACAGGACGAGACGUCGCUCCAAGGAUGUUGUUCCGAAUCCGAGGAUUCAGCGGCGCAGGUAAAUCGGGAAUAGUCAUUCAGGGCCCCGCCUGAGUGAUGAGAUUCAGGGGAUAAGGCUUCAGUUGGUGGUCCAGGUCUUGCUGCAAGCUCGAAAAUCAAAGUCUGGAAUAAGCGUGUAGAAAGCAUAUGGUUUCCUUGUUUGGACGCGGGUUCGAUUCCCGCCAGCUCCACA